RNAcentral lists this ribosomal RNA (253 nucleotides) under uncultured bacterium. RNAcentral describes it as "partial 16S ribosomal RNA". It matches the Rfam family "Bacterial small subunit ribosomal RNA", at positions 524 to 776 of the family's 1533-position model. The record is from RNAcentral.
UACGGGGGGGGCAAGCGUUGUUCGGAAUUACUGGGCGUAAAGGGCUCGUAGGCGGCCAACUAAGUCAGACGUGAAAUCCCUCGGCUUAACCGGGGAACUGCGCCUGAUACUGGAUGGCUUGAGAUUGGGAGAGGGAUGCGGAAUUCCAGGUGUAGCGGUGAAAUGCGUAGAUAUCUGGAGGAACACCGGUGGCGAAGGCGGCAUCCUGGACCAACACUGACGCUGAGGAGCGAAAGCCAGGGGAGCAAACGGG